CAUUACCUUACCAGAAAAGCUAAGAAAAAAAAAGAAAAUAGAGAAAACUGGCACUGAGCUACUAGUCUGCUCGUAUCCGCAGGCCCGUUGCUUCCCCGCUGGUGCGGUGGCCGAUCUAGAUCGCCCCCCGUGGAUCUCCGUUCACCGCCUCAACGUCUCUCCCUCUCCCGUGGCUUCAUUCCGGGCGGCGCCGCCCUCUCCGUCGGGUCCUUCGCCGGCGAAUAGCACCCACCAGGAUCCAGAGCGUGCUACGACCUCUCCUACCCGUCCGCCAUGAUUAAUUUCGUGCUCCUGAUCAGCCGCCAGGGCAAGGUGAGGCUCACCAAGUGGUAUUCGCCUUACACCCAAAAGGAGAGGACCAAGGUCAUUCGUGAGCUCAGUGGACUCAUUCUUACGCGAGGACCCAAACUCUGCAACUUUGUCGAAUGGAGAGGUUACAAGGUCGUAUACAGGAGGUAUGCCAGCCUGUAUUUCUGCAUGUGCAUUGAUGCUGAUGACAAUGAGCUCGAAGUCCUCGAGAUCAUCCAUCAUUUCGUCGAGAUACUGGACCGCUAUUUCGGCAGCGUAUGUGAACUGGAUUUGAUAUUCAAUUUUCACAAGGCCUACUACAUACUGGAUGAGAUUCUUAUCGCUGGCGAGCUUCAAGAAUCUAGCAAGAAAAAUGUUGCAAGACUUAUUGCUGCACAGGAUUCAUUAGUCGAGGCUGCGAAAGAGGAAGCCAGCUCCAUAAGUAACAUCAUUGCUCAAGCUACAAAAUAAAAUUCUACACCACUCUAAUGCCGGCCCCUUUACUCUAUCCUGUCGUUUUUGUACAAGUAAAUGUGCACAAGCACAAGAAAGGUUACAUGUCUUGCCUUUCUUUUCAUGUGCUUACAAAGAACAUAGAGCAGUGGACAUAUUCUAGGCUGGGCGCUGUCUUUUGCUUUGCUCUGCACCAGUAUUUCCCCUCACCUUGGAUAACUCACCCAUGUUGUAUGCUUUAAGAAGAUGGUGGAAUAGUUUGUGAGGAACUGAAAAUGGCGCCCGCUAUAGCUGUUGUGUGUGUUCAUCUCCA
This is an RNA transcript of Panicum virgatum (switchgrass), 1054 nucleotides long. It is a transcript of the gene named AP-1 complex subunit sigma-1, with no coding region annotated. The transcript has 9 exons. The record is from RefSeq and is a predicted model, not a curated record. Lineage: Eukaryota; Viridiplantae; Streptophyta; Magnoliopsida; Poales; Poaceae.